RNAcentral lists this ribosomal RNA (559 nucleotides) under uncultured Clostridium sp. Its description in RNAcentral is "bacterial SSU rRNA". It matches the Rfam family "Bacterial small subunit ribosomal RNA", at positions 159 to 737 of the family's 1533-position model. Lineage: Bacteria; Bacillati; Bacillota; Clostridia; Eubacteriales; Clostridiaceae. The record is from RNAcentral.
UAUGCUAAUACGGGAUAACAUAUGAGAGUCGCAUGGCUUUCAUAUCAAAGCUCCGGCGGUACAGGAUGGACCCGCGUCUGAUUAGCUAGUUGGUAAGGUAACGGCUUACCAAGGCAACGAUCAGUAGCCGACCUGAGAGGGUGAUCGGCCACAUUGGAACUGAGACACGGUCCAAACUCCUACGGGAGGCAGCAGUGGGGAAUAUUGCACAAUGGGCGAAAGCCUGAUGCAGCAACGCCGCGUGAGCGAUGAAGGCCUUCGGGUCGUAAAGCUCUGUCCUCAAGGAAGAUAAUGACGGUACUUGAGGAGGAAGCCCCGGCUAACUACGUGCCAGCAGCCGCGGUAAUACGUAGGGGGCUAGCGUUAUCCGGAAUUACUGGGCGUAAAGGGUGCGUAGGCGGUCUUUCAAGCCAGAAGUGAAAGGCUACGGCUCAACCGUAGUAAGCUUUUGGAACUGUAGGACUUGAGUGCAGGAGAGGAGAGUGGAAUUCCUAGUGUAGCGGUGAAAUGCGUAGAUAUUAGGAGGAACACCAGUAGCGAAGGCGGCUCUCUGGACUGU